This 74-nucleotide transfer RNA is filed under the name candidate division WWE3 bacterium RIFCSPHIGHO2_01_FULL_48_15. RNAcentral describes it as "tRNA-Gln". It matches the Rfam family "tRNA". Rfam says of the family: Transfer RNA (tRNA) molecules are approximately 80 nucleotides in length. Their secondary structure includes four short double-helical elements and three loops (D, anti-codon, and T loops). Further hydrogen bonds mediate the characteristic L-shaped molecular structure. tRNAs have two regions of fundamental functional importance: the anti-codon, which is responsible for specific mRNA codon recognition, and the 3' end, to which the tRNAs corresponding amino acid is attached (by aminoacyl-tRNA synthetases). tRNAs cope with the degeneracy of the genetic code in two manners: having more than one tRNA (with a specific anti-codon) for a particular amino acid; and 'wobble' base-pairing, i.e. permitting non-standard base-pairing at the 3rd anti-codon position. The record is from RNAcentral. Lineage: Bacteria; candidate division WWE3.
UCCGGGGUAGUCUAACGGUAGGACAGCGGAAUUUGGAUCCGUUAAUCUUGGUUCGAAUCCAAGCCCCGGAACCA